UAAUACGGAGGAUGCGAGCGUUAUCCGGAUUCAUUGGGUUUAAAGGGUGCGUAGGCGGAAUAUUAAGUCAGGGGUGAAAGUUUGCGGCUCAACCGUAAAAUUGCCUUUGAUACUGUUAUUCUUGAGUACACACGAGGUAUGCGGAAUGUGAUAUGUAGCGGUGAAAUGCUUAGAUAUAUCACAGAACACCGAUUGCGAAGGCAGCAUACUAGAGUGUCACUGACGCUGAUGCACGAAAGCGUGGGUAUCGAACAGGAUUAGAUACCCUGGUAGUCCACGCCGUAAACGAUGAUUACUAGCUGUUUGCGAUACAUAGCAAGUGGCAAAGCGAAAGCAUUAAGUAAUCCACCUGGGGAGUACGUUGGCAACGAUG
This 373-nucleotide ribosomal RNA is filed under the name uncultured Bacteroidia bacterium. RNAcentral describes it as "bacterial SSU rRNA". It matches the Rfam family "Bacterial small subunit ribosomal RNA", at positions 521 to 896 of the family's 1533-position model. The record is from RNAcentral. Lineage: Bacteria; Pseudomonadati; Bacteroidota; Bacteroidia.